UGUCAAUAACACGCGCUGCAUUUGCGUACAGUGGAGACAGGGUUUGAAAUCUCUGGAUCACUGACUCACGAGGACGUGAAAUCAUUAUGAAAUUUUCGUUUCAUAGUAUACCAGUCAACCGCUACAAAUUCGCGAACACUGAGUUGAACCCUGUACGGAACCCAUGAGAUGACCGAGGCACAAAGCUGAUCGCAGUGUCUCACGUUUCACUGGAAAGAAGAAGACAACUAAUCUCGACAUUCGUCAGGUGUGGGCGAGAAAACGCCGAAAACCGGUCAUCUGGAGUAUGAAGACCUAGAGAAUUCAUCUACAGGAUGACACACUUGAGCUGGCAACAUUGGA
Schistocerca gregaria is the source of this 342-nucleotide long non-coding RNA. RefSeq lists it as uncharacterized. The transcript has 3 exons. NCBI's taxonomy places the organism in Eukaryota, Metazoa, Arthropoda, Insecta, Orthoptera, Acrididae. The record is from RefSeq and is a predicted model, not a curated record.